This is a non-coding RNA of Coturnix japonica (Japanese quail), 614 nucleotides long. The record is from RefSeq and is a predicted model, not a curated record. NCBI's taxonomy places the organism in Eukaryota, Metazoa, Chordata, Aves, Galliformes, Phasianidae.
CCGGACCCAUCAUACCACUGCUAAUGGAUGUACCAGGGUGAGAAACAGAAUUCCCAGAAGCAAAAAUGGGAGUUGACAUACCAGUAGGCUGUAAACCUAGGAUAAAGCAGAGGAGAGUAAAGGUUACCUGGCCCAGGUGCUGCCAGAAAGCUUGGACUAGGAUAUGGACUAUCAACAGUCAACGGGGGAACUAAAAAGGAAAAAGAGAAAUCUAAGUGUGUUUGAAAAAAAAACAAAAAACAGAUAACCCAAAAUAACACUAUGAGAAGUUGCCAAAACAUAAUAGUAAACACAGACUUUACAGGACCCUUCUGCAAACCCAUUCCAACAGCUUUUAUUUAAUUAAACACAAAAUAGCAUUAAUUUAUGCUGAAACCAGCACUCCUUAUCUGAGCCAAAUAGAUAUGACUCUUUCAAUAGCAGUUAUUAAGCAUUUUUGUUUUCAGCAUUCACGCAGUAUUUGCUGUACACAGUCUGUUCCCUUUACUGAAUAUUAAUACUGUUCACAUGCUUUUUCUUGUUUUUCAUCUUCUGAAUACCCCUGUUCCUGAUGCAGGCACCCACUCUGAAAGCACUCACUUUGACUCACUUAGAUCUUUUCAGUGAACAUCAAU